AAGACUAUGUGUGACUGGCGAAACGCGGAUAACCGUGAGGGAGCACAUAGUGGUCGUAGCCGUUCGCCUGGGCAGAGGUA
This 80-nucleotide non-coding RNA is filed under the name Heyndrickxia ginsengihumi. Its description in RNAcentral is "Bacillus ginsengihumi ZTP sequence". It matches the Rfam family "ZMP/ZTP riboswitch aptamer (pfl RNA motif)". Rfam says of the family: Previously known as pfl RNA. The record is from Rfam by way of RNAcentral. Lineage: Bacteria; Bacillati; Bacillota; Bacilli; Caryophanales; Bacillaceae.